RNAcentral lists this ribosomal RNA (242 nucleotides) under uncultured bacterium. Its description in RNAcentral is "partial 16S ribosomal RNA". It matches the Rfam family "Bacterial small subunit ribosomal RNA", at positions 796 to 1041 of the family's 1533-position model. The record is from RNAcentral.
CACGCAGUAAACGAUGAUUACUAGGAGUUUGCGAUAGACAGUAAGCUCCCGAGCGAAAGCGUUAAGUAAUCCACCUGGGGAGUACGCCGGCAACGGUGAAACUCAAAGGAAUUGACGGGGGCCCGCACAAGCGGAGGAACAUGUGGUUUAAUUCGAUGAUACGCGAGGAACCUUACCCGGGUUUGAACGUAGGGAGACAGGGGUGGAAACAUCCUUUUCAGCAAUGACUGCCUACGAGGUGC